CUGGAUUAAAUACAACACACAUUUAACAAAGAUAGAUCGUGUCCAGUUUAACUACUACAUUCUUAGAAUAAUUGAUUUAUUUCGCAGUAGUAAAAUAUUCUUGAUCUAAUCUUUGUAGACAUAGAUAAAGACCUUGGUACACUGCCACAUUACUAGGAAAGCUGUGGAAUGUAAAGAUUUUUUUUUUUUAAAAAAGCAAUUUGCUCAAAGGGGAAGAUGCAGUUGAUAAUGAUGAAAGGUGACCACGAGUUUCUUUGUUCAGGAAGAGGUUCCUCAACAGCCUUAUUUAAUAUUUUCACCAAUGAUUUUUAGUAAAAUAAGGCUUUGAAAUUAUUAAAAUUGCUGGCAGACAAUAAGGAAGCAGUAAUACUUUGGAUGAUUGGAAUGAUGUUGAGAACCUAAUUUAUUAAGUGGGAUUGCAUUUUUAUCCAGAAAUGUAGGUCACACACUUUGGCAUCUAAAGAAGUGCUUCUGAUACCAUAUGGAGCCUCUUCAUUUAAGAAAGAGAAGAAAAAUUGAAGAAUGUAGUUAUGUGUGUAAAUCUUCCAGGGGAUGACUGUAGGUAAUGGUAUGACAUGGCUGGGAAAACAGUGAAGACAUCCUCAGAGUGUAUCAGUGUUGCUGCUCUGUCAGAAAUCUCUAGGACACUGCAUCCAGGCAGUUUUAAGUUUGAAGGAAGCAGAAAAGUACUGAGGGUUGACUGGGCAUGUCAAGCAUGGAAGAUAAAUAGAAGGAAUUAGUUCUGCAUAUCACCUUGAGAACCAAGAGAGUGGCUGAUGGAAAGGGUUUAAAGGUUCAGCUCUCUCUACUGAAUGGAAAGGUGGAAUUAAAUGGUUGCAUUUGCAUGCCUCAAAGAGAUAAAGAUGAAUUGCAUCCUUAACCUGUUGGACUCUAACAAAUGGUUCUCAUCUGUUUGUUUCAAAUAAUUUUUGUACUGUAUACUUUGUAUUACCUCCAAACUCAUAAAUUUAAAGUAAUUUUUUUAUAGGUUG
This 992-nucleotide long non-coding RNA is filed under the name Cyanistes caeruleus (blue tit). Its description in RNAcentral is "lncRNA (ENSCCEG00000000319.1)". The record is from RNAcentral. Lineage: Eukaryota; Metazoa; Chordata; Aves; Passeriformes; Paridae.